This 430-nucleotide ribosomal RNA is filed under the name uncultured bacterium. RNAcentral's name for it is "partial 16S ribosomal RNA". It matches the Rfam family "Bacterial small subunit ribosomal RNA", at positions 354 to 796 of the family's 1533-position model. The record is from RNAcentral.
GUAGGGAAUAUUGGACAAUGGGGGCAACCCUGAUCCAGCGACGCCGCGUGAGGGAUGACGGCCUUCGGGUUGUAAACCUCUUUCAGCAGGGACGAAGCGAAAGUGACGGUACCUGCAGAAGAAGGACCGGCCAACUACGUGCCAGCAGCCGCGGUAAUACGUAGGGUCCGAGCGUUGUCCGGAAUUAUUGGGCGUAAAGGGCUCGUAGGCGGUCUGUCGCGUCGGGAGUGAAAACUCAGGGCUCAACCCUGAGCGUGCUUCCGAUACGGGCAGACUAGAGGUAUGAAGGGGAGAACGGAAUUCCUGGUGUAGCGGUGGAAUGCGCAGAUAUCAGGAGGAACACCGGUGGCGAAGGCGGUUCUCUGGGCAUUACCUGACGCUGAGGAGCGAAAGCAUGGGGAGCGAACAGGAUUAGAUACCCGGGUAGUCC